Molecule: long non-coding RNA, 2784 nt
Organism: Dromaius novaehollandiae (emu)
Lineage: Eukaryota; Metazoa; Chordata; Aves; Casuariiformes; Dromaiidae
Exons: 3
Source: RefSeq, a predicted model, not a curated record
CGCCUGCGCCUGCGCGCCCGGCCGACCCUUUUCACGCGCCCCCUCACCGCCUCCCCCGCGCAUGCGCCGUGGGCGCCUCAGAAGGAUGAGCAGUCAAAUGUCUGAGAAAAGACAGCCCUCCGUGUGCAGAAGCGGCUAGCAGAGAAAGCACGACAAUACCUUGUGUGAUUCAUUCUUCCCAGUACUUCCAGGCACUUUGCCAUGGCAAGCUGUUUAUGGGUUCUGUCGUCCAACCAUGCUGCUGCGGCUUAGUCCUUGAAGUGCUUCAUUGCGACUGCUGACAAGGAAUAUAUUGCAAAAUCCUCAGAUGAUGAGUUCACAGAGCAUUUUCUCCACACACACAUCAGAGCUGAACUGUCUAUAUCUAUUCUAAUUCCCGCUUCUAGCAAGUCUGGUGCAAAUCUAUAUGUGGACAGUAUUUCAAAUUAAGAGUCUUGAUUUAAUUUAAGGAGGCUUUCUUUUUGACUGACUUUAAUUAAGUCAAGAUAGGAAAUUCUUGCUCCUAAAUGAGUGUUCGCACAUAACCUUGGUCUGACAUACGUGCAACUGUGAAGGAAAGCCGAUUCAGUUACCUUUAGAAAACAGCUCAGGAUGGCAUCAGAAGUCCACUUGUUGCAUCGUUGCAGAAAGCCCCCUUGAACCUUGCUGCCCCAGCAGAGGAGCAUGUUGGUGGGACACCAGGCCCUGUGGCAUGGCCUAGAAGGAGAUGUCCAGAAACAGCAGAGCUGAGCCCUUUGCAGGCUGCCGGGAGGACAGAAACAGAUUGGCUUCAGCACUCGCCCCAUCCACCCAGCUGAAGCUUGGCCCAGAUGCCGCCAGUGCUGCCCACAGACGCGGCCUCUGCGGGGCCAGAGACUCGUGGCGGCCCUGGAGCACGCUCACCCCGUCUCGGCCGCCGGCCACGGCACAGCCUCUGCAAGCUCCUGCACCAAAUCAGUAAGGACGCCUUCAGGAAACAUUUCCAGAGAGACGCUGUCCUGUCAGUCUGCUGGAUUAUCUCUGAGAAAGUUCUCCUUAGUUGGCAGAAGAGUGCACAUAUUUCUUCAGCUUAGUGUGAUCAGAAUCUGCCAGCCCCGGGAGAUUUGCUCUGUAAAUAAAUAACUUUGGCAUCAGGAAUUAGGAAGGGAGAAAGCCAGCAGUAGUUGUCCCAAAACAUUCUCUCCUCUCCCUAUAAAUCUCACACAGAAUUAAAUGUUUCUGUGUGGGAGACAUGGAUGUGUGUGUAUUUCUAACAUUACUCUGGAAACUUUCCUACCACCAUGCAUGCAAGGCAACUGAAUAGCCUGAACAGCAGUAAAUGGAGAAUGAACUGAAAGUUUUGCUUGGAUUUUGCUUUACAUCUUGUCCUUUGGUAUUUAAAGGUGCAAAGAGGCACCUAGUGAGGCUGAAUGAAGCAAGGCAUAAAUGCUUUUAUCAAUACAGACUUACAUCUCUAAGUCACUUCUGGCUUAAGAGCCCAAGUCACUUUGGCACGUUUGAAAACAUGACUCCAGGAGUUACCAGGGCAUUUGGAAAGCUGAGGGUUGCGAAGCUUUUGAUCUCUGUUGGCACAGCACUUAAUACUGUGGAGCCCUUAGCUGUAAUGCAGUCCCUUAACAAUAUGGCAGCAUUACUACUUACAAUAAUAGGAGGCAGAAAGUGUGCCUAGCCCAGAGGCUUACUGCUGCAGAAAAUUUUUAAGUAGCAAAUGUUUUCAUUGGUUACAAAGUCAUUGCAAAGCCUGGAAAGAGUGAGAAAAAAUCCACAUAUCCUCUGUGCGAGCAGCAGCAGCCUGUGUAAAACCUGGCAUUCCUCCAUCAGCAUCCCCCAGUCGUGAUAGUGGCAUAUUCAUUCCCUACUCAAACUGAUGUGGAAAGUACUCUGAUUUCUAUUUAAAUUGGCAAUGGUUUAGGUCCUCUCCUUUGAAGCAAAAACAUCAAAGCAACUUACUGUACAUCUAAGGUCACGAUGCAGUCUUCUUUCUGUCUGAAACCAGGACUUCCACCUCACCACAAGCAAACUCCAGUUAUUUCCAUGUCCUUCAAUAAGCAGAAUAUUCAGAACCUUUCCAUGUGUGCCUUUUGCUUUGCUUUGUUCAGCUGAGCGCCGGGAGGAGAAACUGUGUUCUCUCUUUUUUUCUCAUGUAAUGCCAAAGGGAGUGUUGUUGCUCUGCUUUUUAGAAAAAUAUGAAAUCCUAAAAAUUUCACCUUGACAGCUGGGGAAAAAAGACAUGUCCUCUCCGACCCUGUACUUUAUUUUUUCUGUCCCCAGAAUAAGAAGACGAAUUUGCUUUCUAUUGCUUUUGCUCCUUGUGCAAUGAAUGUAUUUGCUGCUUCUUUGAAUGUCAGGAUGAACAUCUGGUUUUGGUGCUCACCGGUCUGCCAAGUCGGGAAGCUUUGAAUAUUUUGCCAAACCAUUUACCCAGCCCUGAAUUUAUAACUAAUAUCGGGAAAAUCACUAGGGGAAAAUGUAAGCAACUGCGGACUGUGUAACAGCCAAUGUCAAUUCUUCAAGUAUAAUUUUUACUGUAUUAAUUUUAUCAAUAUGUGGUUCACAGACAGCUGUAUCUGAUUCACAGCAGUAUAUUCAUAUCGAUGAGCUGCUUUAAAAAUAUGUAACCCAAAUAAUUUCAUAAUGAAUGUACGUUAGUGAAAUAUUUUUAGGGGAUAAAAAUGGACUUUGGAACUGAGUCAUGAGGAAGUGAUAAAUAUGAAGCACAACAAGUUGCCUGAAUGUUUUAAGAAACAAAAUAUAGAGCUUCAAAGCUUCAGAAGAGUCACGUAAAUAAAGAACAAAACUGUUCCA